GAUGAACGCUAGCUACAGGCUUAACACAUGCAAGUCGCGGGGCAGCAUGGGGGUUGCUUGCAAUCCCCGAUGGCGACCGGCGCACGGGUGAGUAACGCGUAUCCAACCUGCCCUUCACCACGGGAUAACCCGGCGAAAGUCGGACUAAUACCGUAUGUUGUCCAUUGACGGCACCCGAUUUGGACGAAAGGCUUGGCGGUGAGGGAUGGGGAUGCGUCCGAUUAGCCAGACGGCGGGGUAACGGCCCACCGUGGCUACGAUCGGUAGGGGUUCUGAGAGGAAGGUCCCCCACACUGGAACUGAGACACGGUCCAGACUCCUACGGGAGGCAGCAGUGAGGAAUAUUGGUCAAUGGGCGUAAGCCUGAACCAGCCAAGUAGCGUGCAGGAUGACGGCCCUAUGGGUUGUAAACUGCUUUUAUGCGGGGAUAAAGUGGCCCACGUGUGGGCUUUUGCAGGUACCGCAUGAAUAAGGACCGGCUAAUUCCGUG
Molecule: ribosomal RNA, 490 nt
Filed under: uncultured bacterium
Lineage: Bacteria
Description: partial 16S ribosomal RNA
Rfam family: Bacterial small subunit ribosomal RNA
Source: RNAcentral